This 66-nucleotide small RNA is filed under the name Dyella thiooxydans. Its description in RNAcentral is "Dyella sp. ATSB10 int-alpA RNA". It matches the Rfam family "int-alpA RNA". Rfam says of the family: Acidobacteria (1 example), Planctomycetes (1 example), Proteobacteria. Lineage: Bacteria; Pseudomonadati; Pseudomonadota; Gammaproteobacteria; Lysobacterales; Rhodanobacteraceae. The record is from Rfam by way of RNAcentral.
GCCGCGCCUAGGCUGAUCCCCGAAAGCCGGGCACCUUCCCCGGUUGGCGCGGCACCCCUUGGAGGG